UACGUAGGGGGCAAGCGUUGUCCGGAAUCAUUGGGCGUAAAGCGCGUGUAGGCGGCUCGAUAAGUCUGCUGUGAAAGUCCAGGGCUCAACCCUGGGAUGCCGGUGGAUACUGUCGAGCUCGAGUCCGGAAGAGGCGAGUGGAAUUCCUGGUGUAGCGGUGAAAUGCGCAGAUAUCAGGAGGAACACCAAUGGCGAAGGCAGCUCGCUGGGACGCGACUGACGCUGAGACGCGAAAGCGUGGGGAGCAAACAGG
This 253-nucleotide ribosomal RNA is filed under the name uncultured bacterium. RNAcentral describes it as "partial 16S ribosomal RNA". It matches the Rfam family "Bacterial small subunit ribosomal RNA", at positions 524 to 776 of the family's 1533-position model. The record is from RNAcentral.